CCACUUUCAUUACUUGAUUUCGGAAUUGU
This 29-nucleotide small RNA is filed under the name Bombyx mori (domestic silkworm). Its description in RNAcentral is "ovarian small RNA-13535". The record is from RNAcentral. Lineage: Eukaryota; Metazoa; Arthropoda; Insecta; Lepidoptera; Bombycidae.